AGUCUGACCUUCCCUCCCGGCGGCAGCAUGCGGGGGUUGCUGGUGUUGAGUGUCCUGUUGGGGGCUGUCUUUGGCAAGGAGGACUUUGUGGGGCAUCAGGUGCUCCGAAUCUCUGUAGCCGAUGAGGCCCAGGUACAGAAGGUGAAGGAGCUGGAGGACCUGGAGCACCUGCAGCAUCCAGGCGGUCAAGAUCUUUCUGGAGUCCCACGACAUCAGCUAUGAGACCAUGAUCGAGGACGUGCAGUCACUGCUGGAGGAGGAGCAGGAGCAGAUGUUCGCCUUCCAGUCCCGGGCGCGCUCCACCGACACCUUUAACUACGCCACCUACCACACCCUAGAGGAGAUCUAUGACUUCCUGGACCUGCUGGUGGCAGAGAACCCGCACCUUGUCAGCAAGAUCCAGAUUGGCAACACCUAUGAAGGGCGUCCCAUUUACGUGCUGAAGUUCAGCACGGGGGGCAGUAAGCGUCCAGCCAUCUGGAUCGACACGGGCAUCCAUUCCCGGGAGUGGGUCACCCAGGCCAGUGGGGUCUGGUUUGCAAAGAAGAUCACUCAAGACUACGGGCAGGAUGCAGCUUUCACCGCCAUUCUCGACACCUUGGACAUCUUCCUGGAGAUCGUCACCAACCCUGAUGGCUUUGCCUUCACGCACAGCACGGUACCGGCCUUCUCCUGUCCUUGGGGGAAGCAGGAUGGGCCUCUGGCUUCUAAGCCGCACAAGUAGUUCACCCCUAAUCUCAAGCCCCAGAAGUCAAGGGAGGGGCAAUCAGACCUGUGCUCCUAGCCGAGGGUGUCUCAACAGUGGCGUGAUUGGCAUUUGGGGUGAAUGAUUCUUUGUCAUGGGGGCUGUCCUGUGCAUCCACGGUGUUUCUAGCAUCCUAACCUUACACCCAUUCAAUGCCAGUAGGAGCCCCCCUCUCCAGUGGUGACAACCAAAAUGUCUUCAGAUAUUGCAAAAUAUCGCAGGGGAGGGUCAAGAUUGUCCCCAGUGGAGGCCCACUGCCCCAGACCUUACUUCCUGGUCCUACUUCUAUUUUUACGGCAAAUAAAACAUCUGACCAAU
Molecule: small RNA, 1063 nt
Filed under: Pan troglodytes (chimpanzee)
Lineage: Eukaryota; Metazoa; Chordata; Mammalia; Primates; Hominidae
Description: retained intron
Source: RNAcentral